AAAGUGGAGCCGUCUUUUCUGCACAGAGUGUGCACUAUCAUCGUAACAGCAGAGACGGAGAGCAAGAUGUGAGGAGGUUAAAAGUCAGGGUCAGAAGUUCAGGUUGCUCUGACCCUCAAAUCAAUUUCAAGCACUGUUUGUGACAUUUUCCUGUGUUCCCUCGCUUGAUGUUAGUCUUUGCAAUGAACCACCGAAUCAGACUUCAGGGCUCAUGGGACUUUGGGGUUUCAGUAGGGUCAGGUCAAUUUCUACCUACCAGUGUACUGUCACCUAUGAGGCAAACCAUUAUCUAGGCGUUUGAGAACCUCAAAGUUUUGAAGCUCUGAGGGGAAAGAGAGAGGAUGAAGCGCUGGGGCCCCUGUGUCUUUGGGGCCUGACAUAGCUCAACCUGUGGCUUCAGGGGGACCGUGUGCAGCCAGGUCACAGUGGUACCGGAAAGGGAUCCUGAUCCAGACCCCAAGAGAGGGUUCUUGGAUCUCGUGCAAGAAAAAAUUCAGGCUGAUGGCACUAAGGCUGAACCCAGAAGCUGCAGCAGUGGACGGAUGAUGAUCUGAAGAAAUGAGAUCCCUGAUGGGCUUGGAAGUCAUGGUUCCUGUAACCAUGAUGUCACACCCUCGUCCUGACACCGAGAUGGGCUGGACACAUCUGUCACCCAGGGCAAACAAAAUGCUUGGUCUGCAUCUUUCAGAAGAAAACUAAAAAUCAAGUAAUUUCUUAGAAGUUUGCUUGCGUGUGGCUUAAGUCUUCUUCUCCUGUUGAGGAAGGUGUUGAGUUUGACCAUGACAGCCCCACCCAGUCCUUGGCUCAUCUCACCCAUCAAAGAGGAUCUGGAGAUUCAGAGCUAUGCCGUGGAAGACCUUGUCAGAGCACCAGGCCAUACUGUGCUGCAGGUGGGGUUCAGGUGCCCAGUGACAACCACCGGGGCCGCUCAUCCCUAAACGUCUGUUGAACUUAAAGUUCUACUCAAGACUUUCUACAUUAAAUACCCUUUCAUACAGCAAAAUCAGCCAUGUUCUGAGAUGUGAAACUGCAGCACAAAGUUACUGUGGUCUCCACCUAUAGAAAUGGAAUGUUACUUCAUAAAGCCCCAGGCCAAAAAAGAAACCCCAAAACUCUGAAACGACACCCUUAAAUUUAACCUGAACAUCUGGCCAGCCUCCUCCAUCAUUGAAACUUCUCCUGAGUGUUGGCAUGGAUCCUAUGUUUCUCCAGCCAGGGAGCUUUGCUCCCCAUUCUUGAUGGACCCACUGAGUCCCAAUUUUCUACAUUUUACUUGGGUCAUUCCACCACUUUGGGAUGCUUUUCCUACUCUGUUGUACUUUAAAAAUGUUUCUUCUUUCCUAUUCUCAGCUUCACGCAUUUGUCUUCUUUCUCAAUUCAACUUGCUUAGUUCUCGCUACAUCAAUUCCUAGAGCCAUCCAUCUGCACUUCUGAAUCAUUUAAGUUUUGUUUGGCUACAAGUAAUGGAAACCCACUCUGAGUAACUCAAGCAAGAACUGGAAUUUAUUGGAAGGACAGUGGGAUAUAUCAUAAGAUCCAAAAAGAAUUGAACAAAUAAAAUUUCAGAGGGAAGAAAAAGGGCAGCUCCAGUGACUUCAGCAACAAGACAACAUAAGUCUUUCUAGAGCAUAGCUACUAAUAUUAUUCAGCUGCAAGAGCCCCUCCCCAUGAGAAACUUGAUUGAAAAUUCUGAUUUCCCACAGAGAAGAAUCUGAUCGACUCAGUUUAGCUUUGGUUGCCCAACUGCUCAAUCUUGCAUGAAUUAUUUCCAGCCAAGGGGACAAGGUGUAUUAUAGGGACACACCUGCUUUCUCCAAAGAAAAGAUCUGGGCAUUUCCUGAUCAUUUCCCUGAGAAGGAGGAAUCAUUGUGAGCCAAGAAGAUACCUCAAGUAUAAUGAGCUCAGUUACACUUUUUUGAUAUCUGAGUAUUUGGUAUGUAGUGUGCAUUUUAAAAAACAUGUCUCUCUCCAGGACAAUGUUAACCUCUUCCACGGUGGAGUGGGGCUAUGUGAUUUUGUGCUUAAUUUACCUAGCUGGUGGGCCUCCAGUAGAGGCUGUAGUCGAGCCAGCUGAUACCACAUCAGUUCUCCAAAGGAACAAAAGCUGCCCUUCCUUCCUUAUUGCAAAGUUUGACAAAAAGCAAAACGUGAAGAAUAAAAGCGACUUGCAUUGUCUAACAUCUACCGCAGUGUUUGAGCUGCAGCUGCUCCUCCUCCCCUGAUUGUUUUCAAAUAUUUCUUCAAAAAAGGCAUUAAAGAAAAACACAAGAUAUUGCACAGGGAACCAAAACAAAUCACAAUCUUCAAGGACAAAGCAUUGCAAAAUGGCUUACAUCCCCAAAUGGGAACAGAUAUGGUUGGAAAUUAAAACAAUCUUUUUUAUUUUAAGCGGAAAUGCUAGCAGAUGCCACAAGAAACAUAUGGAACUCGCCACAGACAAAUAGGGAAUGCUUUCUGCGUGUGGAAGUAGAGCAAAGGGAGUGACCACCUCUGACUGUCAGGGGGAACCAUCAGCUCGAACUGUUUGCUAUGGCAGGAGGGAGUUUGCAGAGUCCGGAGUCCUGCCCUCAUGAAAAAGCUUUAACGGUCUUGACUGAGUAAUUUAAGUCAUUCUUGUCAGGGAGUUUCAGAACACUAUGCACAAUUAUAUUUAUUUCACAAUGCAUUGAUUCCAGAUAUCUUUUUAAAUGUGCUUACCUCUGUGUGCGUUGUUACCUGUUCCCUCUUUGAAUCUCUGAAUGAAACAAAAUAAAUAGGAAAAAAUGGAGACAUAGAAGCAUUGUCCACAAGGCAUCUCCCACUCUAGAGGUCUCCCAGCCCCGUGCUAGCUUGUUAAUUUAUUAUCGCUUGUCUGUCAAACAAGGAAGAUAUAAUUUGCCACACAACAUGUUUUCCUAAAGCAAUGUUUUUGUACAAUUUCCUGAUUUCCAAAAAUAUGACCAAUGAUAUUCUGGUUGAAAAAAAAAA
RNAcentral lists this long non-coding RNA (2967 nucleotides) under Homo sapiens (human). RNAcentral's name for it is "long independently transcribed non-coding RNA 838 (LINC00838)". The record is from RNAcentral. Lineage: Eukaryota; Metazoa; Chordata; Mammalia; Primates; Hominidae.